This 3047-nucleotide long non-coding RNA is filed under the name Hordeum vulgare. RNAcentral's name for it is "long non-coding RNA (HVUL_LNC001358)". The record is from RNAcentral. Lineage: Eukaryota; Viridiplantae; Streptophyta; Magnoliopsida; Poales; Poaceae.
UGAAACGUCACUCGUUCCCCUUUCUCAUGUUCUUCUAUCUAUUCGUCCCACAACAGAUUCCAUUCGAUGAGUAUUAUCUUUUGUUUCCUCCAUUGAUUGCGCGGAUUAGCCAGGCGCCAGGAGUAGCUGCGCAAUAGAAUAGUCAACUUGGUGUUGCACUCAUCAUUGGUGGUGAAUCGGGUUUGGAUCUAUUGUCCUGUAUGGUGGAAGUAAGGCACGACAUCACGCCCUUUUCAUCCUAAACAGCGGCAGGCUGAUUGAAGGUGAUUCUUUGAUUUGCAUUCCCGUUCCUUUCCUCUGUUUCAUUUUCCCCUUUUUUGAUCCAAUAAAUAUUCUUACCUACUGUACUGUAUGUUGUAUGUUAUUAUUAGAUGUUAAUUUUAUUUUGCCCCUCCACGUUUUUCCGGGCUUGGGACCGGCAUCGGCAAUGUUAGGCUCCCUACCCCCCGCAUAUAUUUUAUUUUUGCAAAGUCAAAUUACAUUUUAGUUUUAAUAGAAAAAUUGGAAAAUAGUUUUGAUGCUACAUAUUUAGAAAGCUGUCAGGUUAAGUUUGCUCUAUUGGCUUGAUUAGUAUAGCAAAGUUAACAUACCAUAUUCUAUAAGUUGUCCAUGUUUUGUUUGCUUACUCCACUUUUAGGCACCCCACUCCAUAUAUACCUAAUAAAAAAUAGUAACAGCCAAAUAUUCAAAUAAUAGAAAUCAUAGUUUUUCCCAUAUAUAUCUAAUUUAGCUAGCACUAAAAUUAUGAAAGACGACUUUAACCGAUGUCUGUUCUUUUACACCUUUAUCUUACCUUUCAAAAGAUUUCUUUGUACACUAUAUUUUUGACCAUGUCAUCGUCGUGGUUUCUUCAUCAUCUACCAUUAUCGGUAGUCCAUCUCUUCAUGUGACUCUUGAGAUAGCCACAUACAGUUGUUUGUGCAUGAUGACUUGUUUCGGCAGAUAUAGUCCUACUUUGUUUAGAGAUUACCCUUGACUCUUGUUGAUUGUCAUUGCAAAGCAGACUGAUAUAGGAUAUUGCCUUCUUUUGCUGAUUCCGUUGGUGACAUUAUUAUUCUUGAAAUAUAUGCCUUGUCACCUACAUGUGUUCUUGUUAUAAUCUAUGCUUUGAUGAAUCUUCUUCCAAGUUGAGUUCUUGUCAUCCGUGUACCAUUGCAUAAGCCAGCACUUUGGUUAAAAUUACGUAGCAGCAUCACGGGUAGUCCUACUUUCACCCUAAGCUCGUAAUUAGGUAUUCUAGGAAAUGUUAGGUUGUUUAGGAACUUUGUUGGAUAUAGCAUAUGUGUAUCAUCACUUAGAGUAAUCGCUUUGCAUACAGUGUCGCAGCUUCGAUAUAUUGUUUCCUCGCCUUCUAUUUUGUCCAUUAUAGAUUCAUUGAUCACGCUGACUGUUUCAUUCCUUGGACAUAAAAUUGCUCUUUCUUCCAAGAAUUCCGUGUCAGGAUAUCUUUUUUUCAAGUUUGGGUAGAUGCUUUCGACGAUUGCUUCCAUCGGAUCAGUCUCCUUUUUCAGUAGUACGUGAGUUGAUAUUUUAAUCCACUCUUCUCCUUCUGCUGAUGUAGUUAUUCCAUCACCAAUAUUCAAGAUCCACUCUGCAAAUUGUGCUACUUGUCUUCUAUCUGUCUCAUUUUCUGUCACGCAAGUUAGUCGCAUGUUUUUUGUGAGCUUGAAGAUUUCAAAAUGUUCCCAAAGAUAGGAUCUUUUAAAGGAUGAAGUGACUAUGUUAUGUCUUCUUCCCUUUGGCAGAACUAGAAGAAUCUGGCGGAAGUCCCCUCCUAGAGCCGCUGUCAUACCACCGAAGGGUCUCUCAUUGCUUCUAUCAUUUCUAUUCCUUAGUAUAUCUCUUAGGGUUCUGUCUAGCGCCUCGAAACAUAUUUUGUUUUCCAUUGGAGCCUCACCGCACAAAAUUAGUGACGUUUUAUUUAUUAGUUCUGCCAAUGUGAACCUUGUUUGAUGUCACAUGUUGACUCUUCAGUGAGGAUUAAAGGGAUAUGAAACCUUGAGUGUGAUGUUCUCCCUCUUUGUAGUAGUAGUGCUGCAAUACCACUUCACGCAACUGGUAGUACUAUCUUUCCUUCUGAUCAUAAUUUUGUUGUGAUUGCCUUCCAUAGGUAUGUCUUCCCUGUACCGCCAUAUCCAUCUAGAAAAAAUUGUUUUCCCAGAUCCUUGUCAACUGAUUAUGUUAUGUAGUCAAAUGUGUUUCCUUGCUCGCUAUUCAGAUUACGAAAGAUACUUUGAUGUUCAUCUUUUAGCUCUUCUUUGUUGUAGUUCAUCUCUUCAUUGAGUAGCGUGUUUCCAAGUUCUUUUAGUCCUCAAGAUUUUGGCAGUUCGAUUCCAGGGUAUUCCUUGAGCGUCUUUCCAGCCUGUCUCAUAAGCUUUUCCAUUUCUAGCAAGGUGUGAUCUUUCUUCUGUCUAUCUGUUAGGCGCAGUGUAGGAUAGUUCAAGUUUUUUCUCUGUUUGUACUCCAUGUCUUCACUUAAAAAUUCCCAACAUGCUUCCCACAUCUUAUUUGGAUAUGUAACCUCGAAGUGACAUCAGAUGGUUGUGAAAAGUUGUCGCACUCAGUCCACUCUCUGUCGUCAUCAAGAAAUCCUAAUGAUUCACAGGCUUCCUUGUAUGAUUUAUGAACAACUCCAUUUACCGUUCUUAUGUCUUCAAAACAUAUGCAUCCUUUGAUGACAUUAAGUAGCAUUCUCAUGUAGUAUUUCUCACCACUUGCUGGAUGGGUAUAGUAAAUUCUUCCAACAGAUCUUCCUUUUUUCCGUUUUGUCCACAUAUUUGUUUUCCUAUUGCACACCCAUUUUGACGGGAACUCUGCAUAUGUUAACUUUCUAGCUUCUUCACAUUGCUUGUUUGUUUCCAUCCACUGUGUAAAUUUAGUUAUUCCUGCCCUUUCCUUCGUUACUAUCUUUGUUAAGUCUGUAGAAUCUCAGAAUAUUAUAUGUUGUCCAUUAUGUAGGUGGAAAGGGAGUCUUUCAACACACGGAUUCCGCAAGUGCAUUUCAAAUUGAAAUAUUCUCCAGCAGGUGAUACGUCUCCAACGUAUCU